This 497-nucleotide ribosomal RNA is filed under the name uncultured bacterium. RNAcentral describes it as "partial 16S ribosomal RNA". It matches the Rfam family "Bacterial small subunit ribosomal RNA", at positions 28 to 507 of the family's 1533-position model. The record is from RNAcentral.
GAUGAACGCUGGCGGCGUGCCUAAUACAUGCAAGUCGAGCGAACGGACGAGAAGCUUGCUUCUCUGAUGUUAGCGGCGGACGGGUGAGUAACACGUGGAUAACCUACCUAUAAGACUGGGAUAACUUCGGGAAACCGUAGCUAAUACCGGAUAAUAUUUUGAACCGCAUGGUUCAAAAGUGAAAGACGGUCUUGCUGUCACUUAUAGAUGGAUCCGCGCUGCAUUAGCUAGUUGGUAAGGUAACGGCUUACCAAGGCAACGAUGCAUAGCCGACCUGAGAGGGUGAUCGGCCACACUGGAACUGAGACACGGUCCAGACUCCUACGGGAGGCAGCAGUAGGGAAUCUUCCGCAAUGGGCGAAAGCCUGACGGAGCAACGCCGCGUGAGUGAUGAAGGUCUUCGGAUCGUAAAACUCUGUUAUUAGGGAAGAACAUAUGUGUAAGUAACCGUGCACAUCUUGACGGUACCUAAUCAGAAAGCCACGGCUAACUACGAG